AACGAACGCUGGCGGCAUGCCUAACACAUGCAAGUCGAACGCCCCGCAAGGGGAGUGGCGGACGGGUGAGUAACACGUGGGAACCUGCCCAAUGGUUCGGAAUAACCGCGGGAAACUGCGGCUAAUACCGGAUAAGCCCUCUGGCAACAGAGGGGAAAGAUUUAUCGCCGAUGGAGGGGCCCGCGUCCGAUUAGGUAGUUGGUGGGGUAACGGCCUACCAAGCCUACGAUCGGUAGCUGGUCUGAGAGGAUGAUCAGCCACACUGGGACUGAGAUACGGCCCAGACUCCUACGGGAGGCAGCAGUGGGGAAUAUUGGACAAUGGGGGCAACCCUGAUCCAGCAAUGCCGCGUGAGUGAUGAAGGCCUUA
Molecule: ribosomal RNA, 369 nt
Filed under: uncultured bacterium
Lineage: Bacteria
Description: bacterial SSU rRNA
Rfam family: Bacterial small subunit ribosomal RNA
Source: RNAcentral